AGUAACGGCGAGUGAAGCGGCAACAGCUCAAAUUUGAAAUCUGGCGCAAGCCCGAGUUGUAAUUUGUAGAGGAUGCUUCAGGGCAGCGGCCGGUCUAAGUUCCUUGGAACAGGACGUCGUAGAGGGUGAGAAUCCCGUAUGCGACCGGUUGGCACCCGUCACGUAGCUCCUUCGACGAGUCGAGUUGUUUGGGAAUGCAGCUCUAAAUGGGAGGUAAAUUUCUUCUAAAGCUAAAUACCGGCCAGAGACCGAUAGCGCACAAGUAGAGUGAUCGAAAGAUGAAAAGCACUUUGGAAAGAGAGUUAAAAAGCACGUGAAAUUGUUGAAAGGGAAGCGCAUGCAACCAGACUUGUCGGCGGUGUUCCGCCGGUCUUCUGACCGGUCUAUUCGCCGCCGGCAGGCCAGCAUCAUCUGGGUGCGCCGGAUAAAGGCGCGGGGAAUGUGGCUCCUCGGAGUGUUAUAGCCCCGCGCACAAUACGGCGCCGCCCGGGUGAGGUCCGCGCUUCGGCUAGGAUGCUGGCGUAAUGGUUGUCUGCGGCCCGUCUUGAAACACGGACCAAGGAGUCUAACAUCUAUGCGAGUGUUCGGGUGUCAAACCCCUACGCGUAAUGAAAGUGAACGGAGGUGGGAAGCGCAAGCUGCACCAUCGACCGAUCCUGAUGUCUUCGGAUGGAUUUGAGUAAGAGCAUAGCUGUUGGGACCCGAAAGAUGGUGAACUAUGCCUGAAUAGGGUGAAGCCAGAGGAAACUCUGGUGGAGGCUCGCAGCGGUUCUGACGUGCAAAUCGAUCGUCAAAUUUGGGUAUA
RNAcentral lists this ribosomal RNA (805 nucleotides) under Teratosphaeria pseudocryptica. RNAcentral's name for it is "eukaryotic LSU rRNA". It matches the Rfam family "Eukaryotic large subunit ribosomal RNA", at positions 82 to 919 of the family's 3401-position model. Lineage: Eukaryota; Fungi; Ascomycota; Dothideomycetes; Mycosphaerellales; Teratosphaeriaceae. The record is from RNAcentral.